This 1722-nucleotide ribosomal RNA is filed under the name Escherichia coli 6-319-05_S1_C2. Its description in RNAcentral is "bacterial LSU rRNA". It matches the Rfam family "Bacterial large subunit ribosomal RNA", at positions 1 to 1767 of the family's 2925-position model. Lineage: Bacteria; Pseudomonadati; Pseudomonadota; Gammaproteobacteria; Enterobacterales; Enterobacteriaceae. The record is from RNAcentral.
UUAAGCGACUAAGCGUACACGGUGGAUGCCCUGGCAGUCAGAGGCGAUGAAGGACGUGCUAAUCUGCGAUAAGCGUCGGUAAGGUGAUAUGAACCGUUAUAACCGGCGAUUUCCGAAUGGGGAAACCCAGUGUGAUUCGUCACACUAUCAUUAACUGAAUCCAUAGGUUAAUGAGGCGAACCGGGGGAACUGAAACAUCUAAGUACCCCGAGGAAAAGAAAUCAACCGAGAUUCCCCCAGUAGCGGCGAGCGAACGGGGAGCAGCCCAGAGCCUGAAUCAGUGUGUGUGUUAGUGGAAGCGUCUGGAAAGGCGCGCGAUACAGGGUGACAGCCCCGUACACAAAAAUGCACAUGCUGUGAGCUCGAUGAGUAGGGCGGGACACGUGGUAUCCUGUCUGAAUAUGGGGGGACCAUCCUCCAAGGCUAAAUACUCCUGACUGACCGAUAGUGAACCAGUACCGUGAGGGAAAGGCGAAAAGAACCCCGGCGAGGGGAGUGAAAAAGAACCUGAAACCGUGUACGUACAAGCAGUGGGAGCCUCUUUUAUGGGGUGACUGCGUACCUUUUGUAUAAUGGGUCAGCGACUUAUAUUCUGUAGCAAGGUUAACCGAAUAGGGGAGCCGAAGGGAAACCGAGUCUUAACUGGGCGUUAAGUUGCAGGGUAUAGACCCGAAACCCGGUGAUCUAGCCAUGGGCAGGUUGAAGGUUGGGUAACACUAACUGGAGGACCGAACCGACUAAUGUUGAAAAAUUAGCGGAUGACUUGUGGCUGGGGGUGAAAGGCCAAUCAAACCGGGAGAUAGCUGGUUCUCCCCGAAAGCUAUUUAGGUAGCGCCUCGUGAAUUCAUCUCCGGGGGUAGAGCACUGUUUCGGCAAGGGGGUCAUCCCGACUUACCAACCCGAUGCAAACUGCGAAUACCGGAGAAUGUUAUCACGGGAGACACACGGCGGGUGCUAACGUCCGUCGUGAAGAGGGAAACAACCCAGACCGCCAGCUAAGGUCCCAAAGUCAUGGUUAAGUGGGAAACGAUGUGGGAAGGCCCAGACAGCCAGGAUGUUGGCUUAGAAGCAGCCAUCAUUUAAAGAAAGCGUAAUAGCUCACUGGUCGAGUCGGCCUGCGCGGAAGAUGUAACGGGGCUAAACCAUGCACCGAAGCUGCGGCAGCGACGCUUAUGCGUUGUUGGGUAGGGGAGCGUUCUGUAAGCCUGCGAAGGUGUGCUGUGAGGCAUGCUGGAGGUAUCAGAAGUGCGAAUGCUGACAUAAGUAACGAUAAAGCGGGUGAAAAGCCCGCUCGCCGGAAGACCAAGGGUUCCUGUCCAACGUUAAUCGGGGCAGGGUGAGUCGACCCCUAAGGCGAGGCCGAAAGGCGUAGUCGAUGGGAAACAGGUUAAUAUUCCUGUACUUGGUGUUACUGCGAAGGGGGGACGGAGAAGGCUAUGUUGGCCGGGCGACGGUUGUCCCGGUUUAAGCGUGUAGGCUGGUUUUCCAGGCAAAUCCGGAAAAUCAAGGCUGAGGCGUGAUGACGAGGCACUACGGUGCUGAAGCAACAAAUGCCCUGCUUCCAGGAAAAGCCUCUAAGCAUCAGGUAACAUCAAAUCGUACCCCAAACCGACACAGGUGGUCAGGUAGAGAAUACCAAGGCGCUUGAGAGAACUCGGGUGAAGGAACUAGGCAAAAUGGUGCCGUAACUUCGGGAGAAGGCACGCUGAUAUGUAGGUGAAG